Molecule: non-coding RNA, 1159 nt
Organism: Paramuricea clavata
Lineage: Eukaryota; Metazoa; Cnidaria; Anthozoa; Malacalcyonacea; Plexauridae
Source: the annotation of a GenBank genome assembly
CUUAGCAUAUGACAUUUGCAAUUGUCUUUUAUAAUCCAGAAUAUCUUUCUGGCCAUUUUUCAACACUUUCAUGUUUUCUUUCAUCUUUAUCUCCAAUGAUGUACAUUUUUCAACAUUUGUUACCUGCUCUGUUUGAACUGAAAACAAACACACAGCACGCAUUCACACAUAUGACAUUUAUGCUUUACAACUAAACAUGCACACAUGUCUCUUCUAACCCGUUCAGUGGUAAUGUAUCCUUAUACACCCUGGCUCGGUUGCUCUAAGCUGGAUUAGCGCUAAUAGUGUGGCGGAUAUGUGCAUGGAUGUUUCCGAAGAAGGUUAAAAGCACCAAAUUGUGCACAAUAGCAUCUUUUUAUGAGUCGAACAACAUGCAAAAUGGGGCCAUCGUGAAACUGUUUUUUUAGAGAGUUACGAUGCUAUUAGCAUUAUUUGCUAUGAAAUUCUACUACAACAAAAAAUGUUAAAUUUUGAAUUCAAUCGCGACAAAUAUAACUUGCAUCAUCAGAAAGCUUGUAAAAACUAUAAAACUAUACAUUAUCUCGCUAAAAGUCUCGAUGUUUGAAAAUGCGUUUAAAAAACUGUCUAAACUUCUUAUGCAGUUUUUAUAAGCUUUCUGAUGAUGCAAGUCAUAUUUGUUGUAAUUGAAUACAAAAUUUCACAUUUUUUGGCUAUAAUAGAAUUCAAUAGAAGAAAAUCAUCACCCGUUUUCAGGAGUUAGCAGCAAAAUAGCGAUGGCCCCAUGCACUUCAAAUAUCUAUUAAGCAAAUAAAACUACAACAAUUGUAAAAGUUUGAUGCUUUUAACCUCAACGGGAACUACUGAUCAAUAAUUUUACACAUAUCCGCCUCACUAUAACUCGCGGUUAAAAUUUAACUUUCUGUUUUAGUUUAUGUAUUUCUACGCAUCCGUUUAUUUCAAAACUUCAGAGAAGAAAACUACUAUUCAGUGCUGGAAAAUGUCCGGCAGCGCCAGCAGCACCGCUGCCAGGAAAUUUUUACCAAAAUAUCUUUUCUUACCUUGCAGGAAAUUUUUGUCAUCUUAUAUACUGGAAUGCCAUAUAAUUUACGUAUUGGUGUAGUGUACUCAGGUGAAUAUGAUAUUUGUGGUGUUACUCUGAGUAGCUAGUAUUCCAAAGGUCGUAGGUUCGAAUCCCACC